GCUUGUCUCAAAGAUUAAGCCAUGCAUGUCUAAGUAUAAACAACUUUAUACAGUGAAACUGCAGAUGGCUCAUUAAAUCAGUUAUAAUUUAUUUGAUGAUUAACUUUACUACAUGGAUAACCGUAGUAAUUCUAGAGCUAAUACAUGCGAAAAGUCCUGACUUCUUCGUGAGGGAGGGAUGUAUUUAUUAGAUACAAUCAAACGCACCAACAUAAAACCUUGGUGAUUCAUAAUAACUGUUCGGAUCGUAUGGCAUCAGCUGGCGAUGAAUCAUUCAAGUUUCUGACCUAUCAGCUUCCGACGGUAGGGUAUUGGCCUACCGUGGCAAUGACGGGUAACGGAGAAUUAGGGUUCGAUUCCGGAGAGGGAGCCUGAGAAACGGCUACCACAUCCAAGGAAGGCAGCAGG
This 408-nucleotide ribosomal RNA is filed under the name uncultured eukaryote. RNAcentral describes it as "partial small subunit ribosomal RNA". It matches the Rfam family "Eukaryotic small subunit ribosomal RNA", at positions 30 to 432 of the family's 1831-position model. The record is from RNAcentral.